UACGUAGGGUGCAAGCGUUAAUCGGAAUUACUGGGCGUAAAGCGUGCGCAGGCGGUUAUGUAAGACAGGGGUGAAGUCCCCGGGCUUAACCUGGGAACUGCAUUUGUGACUGCAUAGCUAGAGUACGGUAGAGGGGGAUGGAAUUCCGCGUGUAGCAGUGAAAUGCGUAGAUAUGCGGAGGAACACCGAUGGCGAAGGCAAUCCCCUGGACCUGUACUGACGCUCAUGCACGAAAGCGUGGGGAGCAAACAGG
RNAcentral lists this ribosomal RNA (253 nucleotides) under uncultured bacterium. RNAcentral describes it as "partial 16S ribosomal RNA". It matches the Rfam family "Bacterial small subunit ribosomal RNA", at positions 524 to 776 of the family's 1533-position model. The record is from RNAcentral.